UCGAGCGAUGAAGCUUCCUUCGGGAAGUGGAUUAGCGGCGGACGGGUGAGUAACACGUGGGUAACCUGCCUCAAAGUGGGGGAUAGCCUUCCGAAAGGAAGAUUAAUACCGCAUAAUAUAAGAGAAUUGCAUGAUUUUCUUAUCAAAGAUUUAUUGCUUUGAGAUGGACCCGCGGCGCAUUAGCUAGUUGGUAAGGUAACGGCUUACCAAGGCAACGAUGCGUAGCCGACCUGAGAGGGUGAUCGGCC
RNAcentral lists this ribosomal RNA (248 nucleotides) under Clostridium botulinum. RNAcentral's name for it is "partial 16S ribosomal RNA". It matches the Rfam family "Bacterial small subunit ribosomal RNA", at positions 62 to 309 of the family's 1533-position model. The record is from RNAcentral. Lineage: Bacteria; Bacillati; Bacillota; Clostridia; Eubacteriales; Clostridiaceae.